Long non-coding RNA from Pan troglodytes (chimpanzee), 1453 nucleotides. RefSeq lists it as uncharacterized. The record is from RefSeq and is a predicted model, not a curated record. The transcript is spliced from 4 exons. Lineage: Eukaryota; Metazoa; Chordata; Mammalia; Primates; Hominidae.
ACCCUGUGCAGCUUCCUCCUUCCGGGUGCAGGCGGGCCUGGGCAGUCUGAGUCCUACCUCAGCCCCCACCUCACCUCCCUGCAUCCUCCUAGCAUCUCUGCAGGGCUAGCCCAGAGGUUGGCGGCGGAAGGCCCACAGCUCCCCUGGCUCCAUGGGCAAUGACCGGACAGCCCUUCACCUCUCUGGGCCUUGUUUUCUCAAACUGAAACUGGAGAGGAUGACCCCAGCCUGGGACCUUCGAGGGCCUCAAAAGGGCUCUGGGCCUUGCGUGUGUUUCUCAAAGUUACCCAAACCACAUCCCCUGGGAAGCCUGGUUCAGAUGCUCCUCCAAGAAGCCUCCCUUGAACCCCAGAUAGAAGGGAGCAUCACUCCUGUGACCUCACCCCACCCCAUCCUCUAUACGCUCGAGACUGUUGUAGCCGUACUAGGUGCUAUGAAGGGGAGGGGAUUUGACCUCGGCAGGAUGAUCAGGGAAGGCAUCCUGGAGUACGCAUGAGAUCAGGGAUGGCUGGGUUGACAGGGCAAAGUGGAAAGGAAGGGAGGGUAUUCCAGGCAGCAGGAACAGAAUGUACGACUGCUCUGAGGCAGCUGGAAGCAUGGUCAGCAAAAAGAUUGGAAAUUAUGCAUGUUUUAUCUAUUCCAAGAUGCUUAAUGUUCACGUUUCACUUUUUGUUUUGUUUUGUUUUUAAGAGAGUCUGAAUCUGUGACCUAGUCCGGAGUGCAGUUGCAAGAUCACAACUCACUGCAACUUCAACCUCCUGGGCUUAAGCAAUUCUCCUACUUCAGCCUUCUGAGUAACUGGGACUACGGGUGUGUGCCACCACACCUGGCUAAUUAUUUUGCUUGUUUUUUGUACAGACAGAGUCUUGCUGUGUUGCCCGGGCUGGUCUCGAACUCCUGGGCUCAAGUGAUCCUCCCGCCUUGGCCUCCUGAAGGGCUGAGAUGACGGCAUGAGCUGCCUCACGCAGCCCCCAUUCUACACCUCUGAAGUGAGUUUACAUGGUACAGUUGCUGUCUGGCUAGCUGCCGUCCCAACAUCACUGUCAGGACCCACACCUGAAAAGCACCAGCAUCAAAUCCUUCAGAAGAGUGUCAGCAGCUUGGAAGAAAUCCUAGAGGCUGGACGAUGAAUGUGAUGGCUGGAACUCAAGCAGCCACAGUGGGUCAUAAGGGACGGUGUCUUGCUAUGUUGUCCAAGCUGGUCUCAAACUGGCCUGAAUCAAUGCUUCCACCUCAGCUGCCAGAGGAACCGGGAUUACAGGCCUGAGCCACUGCAGCCAGCCAGUUUGUUAUUUUAAUGUAAAUUCUUAGUAAACAACUCAGGAACUCUCUUGUCCUUUUAAAAUCCAUUUCAACUGCUGCUAAUCGGAGUGUAUAUUCAGGGCAACUUGAAUCUGUGCUCCUGGGAUGCAAUCCUCAAGCUUGGCCCAAAUAAAGUCUCCGCUGAUAUUAA